AGUGAACGCUGGCGGUAGGCCUAACACAUGCAAGUCGAACGGCAGCACAGUAAGAGCUUGCUCUUACGGGUGGCGAGUGGCGGACGGGUGAGGAAUACAUCGGAAUCUACUUUUUCGUGGGGGAUAACGUAGGGAAACUUACGCUAAUACCGCAUACGACCUACGGGUGAAAGCAGGGGAUCUUCGGACCUUGCGCGAUUGAAUGAGCCGAUGUCGGAUUAGCUAGUUGGCGGGGUAAAGGCCCACCAAGGCGACGAUCCGUAGCUGGUCUGAGAGGAUGAUCAGCCACACUGGAACUUAGACACGGUCCAGACUCCUACGGGAGGCAGCAGGUGGGAAUAUUUGACAAUGGGCGCAAACCUUGUCCAACCAUUCCGCGGUGGGUAAGAAGGCCUUCCGGUUUUUAAGCCCUUUUGUUUGGAAAAAAAAGCAGCAGGUUAAUUCCCCGCUUUUCUUACGGUACCCAAAGGAUUAGCACCCGCUUACUUCGUU
RNAcentral lists this ribosomal RNA (492 nucleotides) under uncultured bacterium. Its description in RNAcentral is "partial 16S ribosomal RNA". It matches the Rfam family "Bacterial small subunit ribosomal RNA", at positions 29 to 507 of the family's 1533-position model. The record is from RNAcentral.